Molecule: unclassified non-coding RNA, 417 nt
Filed under: fungal sp.
Lineage: Eukaryota; Fungi
Description: partial internal transcribed spacer region
Rfam family: Eukaryotic small subunit ribosomal RNA (bases 1-46)
Source: RNAcentral
AAGUCGUAACAAGGUUUCCGUAGGUGAACCUGCGGAAGGAUCAUUAACACGUUCAACAACGUUCGAUCAAUCGAUCAACCACACCCAACCGUUGCACACCCUUGUGCGAGCCCUCUAGGGGGAUCGACACUUGGCUCCCAUCACUCGGCAUGUACUGUCUGACGGUAUAUGUCUUCUAUCCAAUCCCCCUUUUUUCACCCCUUUUUUCAAUUGACUCACCCUACCAACCCCGAGUGGCCUGAUCAAAUGUGUCAUUUGCCUUGGGUGACGGACAGACAGAGUGAGUGAGUGAGUUGGUUUUCCUAUCUCUCUUUUUUCUUUCUUUCUGCCCGGCCCAAGGUGGACGGACCGAACCAUAUGGAUGUUUCCAAAUGAGUUAUAUCAAUACAACUCUUAGCAAUGGAUAUCUUGGUUCUC